Molecule: ribosomal RNA, 199 nt
Filed under: uncultured bacterium
Lineage: Bacteria
Description: partial 16S ribosomal RNA
Rfam family: Bacterial small subunit ribosomal RNA
Source: RNAcentral
ACGCUCGACACCUACGGGAGGUAGCAGUGGGGAAUAUUGCACAAUGGGGGAAACCCUGAUGCAGCGACGCCGCGUGGAGGAAGAAGGUCUUCGGAUUGUAAACUCCUGUUGUUGGGGAAAAAGAGGAUGGUACCCAACAAGGAAGUGACGGCUAACUACGUGCAGCAGCCGACGGUAAUCUGAGGCGGGCUGGCAAGGC